CCGCUGGCGACAAAGAAUAUCGCCCAUAAUAGACUAGCCGUUGAGAGAAUGAUAACGGCAAAGAAAAUACAAAUGGGAGCGUGAAAAAGCAUUUGAAUUUCAAUAUAAAUAUAAGCAAUUCAGUUUCAUUUCGUUACAGACAUUCGUUCUUUCUCUGAUUGCCCCUUUCUCUCGAUGUUCUGUUCUUUCUCUCUGUUUUCUUCAAAAAAAAUUAAGUGUUUGCUUUGUUUUCAUUUUUCAUUUUUCUGGUUUUCAGCGUGCACGCUGGUCUGUCUGUCUUUUUUUGGUAUUGCAUUUUUCUGGCAGUGCAGGGGAAAGGUAGAGCGCAGGGGAAAGGUAGAGCAGAGGAAGAGGCAGAGCAACCGAGGGGAAAUAUAGACAAUAAAAAAUUCAUUAUUGUUUGUUGCAAAUCCAAUCAAUUCAAGUUGGCAUGAUAAAAUUUGCAUUAGAUGCAGAACCCAGCAAGUGUUCAUAUAACUGAUGCAGAGAGGAAGAAAUGGGAAGUUCCUUAUGACCUGCUUUGCCUUAUGACCUGCUUUGUUUAUAGCAAGUCGCUGCUCUAGAAGGAAACCAUAUUUUCAAAACAGCUAACCCAAUGUUUGAAUUCUCUGUGUUCUCAGGCAAUGAAUUGAUCUUCUCCUACACAGCGAACCCAUUUGAAUUUGCUAUCGAGCGCAGAUUCCAUGGAGAGGUUAUGUUCAACUCUUCAUAUGGUAGCUUGGUUUUCAGUAUCCGGUGAGCAGAUACAAAAUCGUUGAGGACUUGGAUGUGCUAUCUGUACCAUGACUGUAAUCCUGUGGUUGUGCAUGGAGAUGUGCACCAAUGGACAGCCACAUGGAAGCUCCAAUGUCUGAUUUUUCUUAGCCAGACUCAUGCAGAGGGAAGCCACCAUGUGCUCUAGCGCGUACAUUGCAUCAGGUUCACAUAGACAUAUGCUCAUAUCCCUAAAACCUCCAAGAUACAAAUAUUUGAAAAGGUUUUGAUGCUAACUCUAAAAGUUCAUUUUUUCCUUUCAAAACCUAUUUUUAACCUGGGGACAAAAAAUAGGUAACAAUGUUUUUUUUGGUUUGUUUGUGGUAGUUGUAAAAUGUAUGAAUCGAUCGGCAUCCUAAAUUUUCAUUUUCUGGAUUGGAGAUUACUUCCAUUAUCAUUUUUAUUUGCAGUAUGAUAAGAAGGAUCCUGAGCAGCUUUUUAAAUUAGUUGUUUUUCAUCAUGGUGUAUUGAAAACAACAAGAGACGAAAUUAGGCUUGCAUUAUUUCUUUAGUUAUGUUUUGGUCAAGCAUUUUGACUUGAUAGCAUUGUAAAAUAUACAAAUAUAAUGUUUAAUAAAAAAAAGUAUUGGAUUGGACUAAA
Long non-coding RNA from Cryptomeria japonica (Japanese cedar), 1354 nucleotides. RefSeq lists it as uncharacterized. NCBI's taxonomy places the organism in Eukaryota, Viridiplantae, Streptophyta, Pinopsida, Cupressales, Cupressaceae. The record is from RefSeq and is a predicted model, not a curated record. The transcript is spliced from 4 exons.